AGUUUUUUCCCCCCUCCUUAGGUGGGCAUUAUCAAUGCUCAGAGUUUCACAGAGUUUAACAUUCACAUUGGAGAUGUGAUAUUUUUCCCCACUGGAACCCAGCAUUACAUUAAGAGCACAUGCGAUGAGGAUUUGCUUCUCAUUCUUGCCUUCAGCACUGGAGACCAGUUGCAAACCCUUGACAUGGACGAUUAUCUCCAGGCCACCGCAGACCACAUCCUGGCUCAGCUUUUCUUCAAGAAGCAAAGUGAGUUUAAGAAGAUCCCCCAAUUUAAGGAAGACCAGGCAGUCAACCUGCCUUAGAUUUGCUGACGUGUUCAUACCUAUUUUUUUUUCUUCAUAUGUUAUUACUGUUUUUUAAAGAAGGUCCACUUGGCUCAUGAACUUGGAGCUCCUUACAGAGAGACAUUGGUCAAGCAGGUGUGAAAGCAGCCCCACGGGCUCAUUUAGCUAAGCUCAUAGGCAACUCGUGCUAAGCGAACAUUUCCGUGUACUCUGCAGCUUAUCUACAGAGGGGCUCUGCUCAAUUAAAUUACUAUUUUUUAAUGGAUUUUAGUAUGCAUGUAUAUAUUUAUUUUGCUUUUGUUGCAUCAGAUUUAUUACUCCAAAUGAAAAUCCAUUCUUUUUUUUGCACAUGAGUGAAACUUAGUGCCAUGCUUGUAUUUUUGCUAUUCAUCACUGUGGAAGGAAGUAUGGAGAUCAGCCUGCUUAUGUAUGUACAUACAGACGCAGCCAGAAGAAGCCAGGUGCAUCUAACCUUGUCUGGAGAGUUUAGUGUAGAAUCUUAGGUUAGCCACUCUCAAUGCUUUUGUCGACAUGAAGAUACUUUUUAUAAGGCUCAAAAUUUCAAGGACUCACACGAGUAGUUUACUUAUUGUAUAUUAGCUGAGAAAAUACUUAAUGGCAAACUAAUUAUAAAUUCAGUAUUUUCUUUGAAUGUAUUUGAAUUUUAUUAAUCACAUCACAGACUAUUUACUUUUGAGGAACAGUCAUCUGUAUAUUUGAGAAGCAAGUGUUUCUUUAGUCUAUUGGGUGGGUGUGUAUGUGGAUUUGAAGACUACUUUUCAUCACUUGGAAACUGGUAGGAGCUGGUGGUCUCUAAGUUGGGGGUCAUUGUCUUAAGUAGAAAAGAGUUUGUUCAAAUCUAACCAGUGCUUGAUUUUUCUUUGUUGUUUUGUCACUAAGUCAUUCUAACUCUUUGCGACCCCGUGGACUGUAGUCUACCAGGUUCAUCUGUCCAGUUUUCCUGGAAAGAAUACUGGAGUGGUUUGCCAUUUCCUCCUGCAGGGGAUCUUCUCAACCCAGGGAUCGAACCUGUGCUCCCUGCAUUGGCAGGCAGAUUCCUUACCACUGAGCCGCCA
Molecule: long non-coding RNA, 1361 nt
Filed under: Bos mutus (wild yak)
Lineage: Eukaryota; Metazoa; Chordata; Mammalia; Artiodactyla; Bovidae
Description: lncRNA (ENSBMUG00000019019.1)
Source: RNAcentral